AGCACUUUGUCAACAAGUUAACAACCUAUAAUUGUGAAGAAAAAGAUGCACCUAGAGAAUUUCUAGAGGACAUUAACUGUGUUUUCAUUGCACUGUUGCACUGGCCUACAGUCCCACAGCUACAACACUGAAAUCUCAAUCUAUUUCCUCAUUAUUCAUUAUCCUCCUGGUGAUAUUAAAGCCACAGCAUGGUGGUUGACCAAAGAACAGUCACUCUUGCAAUCAGUCUCAAUUCAAAGUAGAGACAGAGGAACCGCAAUCACCCACAAAAGCUUGAGACAUAAGAACCUGUAACCAUGACAGCUGCAUCCUACAAAUGCUACAGAAGACAAUAACACCAGUUCCUCCUGACAAAGCCUGUGUUGACUCAGUUUCCUUUGUAUGCAUUGGCAGUCUCAUAAAGUGCAGUAUCAAUACCACCAUAAACCAGUUUUUAAGGUAUCCUGUCUUUAAAGGAACAGUGUUGAACCUUCCCUCUUUCCAUAGGGUAAUACAGCAAGUAUUUUCCUUGAUGUGCAUCCCUGAGGCACUGAAUGUGUGAACUUUCCAUGACCAGGUUUUUUUAUCUCAACCAAGGGUCAGUAUUUCCAGGUAAAAAUGGUAUGAUUUAGCAUCAACUAGUAAGAAUGGAAGAUUGAAAAAGAUUGGCAUGGAAGAUUGUUGUCCUGGUUUAGUUGACAGUUACACAGACCUGCUGUAGAGGAAAUGUCACGGCCUGAAACUGUGAUUGAGCACCUGGUGGGAAGGCAGGGCCAAUAAAAGCUCAGGUGCAAGCAAUGCACAUAAAUGACCAGAAGGGUUGGCAGUGGAAGCAAGAGCAUGUUUUGUUGGAGGUCCCUGCUUACUGGAGGUCUUCUACAGCUGCCACAGGUUUAUUUCAUCCACCAUAGAGAAAAGUGACCCCAGGUAUACCAGGCACAUCUGUGAGAACUCCCAUCAACUGCACUGACUGCAACUGGUCCUGCAUCCUGUCAAGUCCCAGGAGUGAGACACAAGGGUCUAUUUUUAUUUAUUUUUUUUCCAAGCAGCAGAAAACUAAAAUUAUGGGCUUCAAAGGGUCCUGCAACUGUACCAAACACGAUCCAGAUGCAAGAGUGAAGAAAAUAUUUACAAUAUGAUCCAGCUAUGGGUUCAACCAGCCACAACCACCCCAUCAGCCUUCUCAAUGUCUCCCUUUGUCCUCUAUCACAGAUGAAUAAAGCGCCUGUGGGAAAUGAUUUGCUGAUAAAGUAAUAGUAAUUCUUCUUUCCAAAAUAUGUUUGGCAACACAGAAAGCUAUUCUGAUCACUGUACUCGGGCUGCUCCCAGCAUUAAAAAAAAAUAGCUAGAAGCAGAAGCCUUUAAGCAGGAGCUGGCACAGUGCUCACUACAAGCAGAAAGCAGCAACAAAGGUGAAGGGAACUCUGUGGGGCAUUACCCUGAGAGCUGCAAGGCACACUGCUGAAGGUCCUACCCCAGUGUCUCUGCAUAGCAAUUAAAGAGAGGUCAUAAAUUCCACCACCCUUAAGCAGAAGCACAAGAACAUUUGACAAGCAGAGAGCUUGGGAAAGAUGCCAAGCAAUGUUCCUGUGGCAGGUUGUUGUGCACCCUUCAUCUAGAAAUGUCCUGGGGUUGUUUUGCAUCACCCCAUGCUUCCAAAAAGCUGAGGUCUUGACAGCAUCCACUUGGUUUAUUUACUGACUGGAAGGGAUGAAAAGCAGAGUGCAUUGCAUACAGCUUUCCCUGCCCAACUCCACAGCUCCCUGCCUCCAGCUGCAAGCUCAGCAACACCAAGUCUUCAAGCUCAACAGAGUGCUGUGCUGCAGCUGUGCCCUGCUCUGUAGAAAAGCACUUCCACUAACUUUUCCUGUCAGCCUCAGCACUUAAUACUGCUGCUGUUCCCCUCCCCAGGAGAACAGAGCUUCCACUUAACUCACUGAAGCCACCUGCUCUCCCCUCAGCAAGCUGCCUAUCUUCUGUAAUGCAUCUCCCUUACCAAAGGACGUUUGGUCCCCUAGCCCUUGCUCACCCAAGUCAGUUUGCAUUGACAGGACGAUGAGCUACAUCUCAUGAGGGUCUUCCCUCCAGAUAGAUCCAAAGCACUUUGUAAGCAAUUAGCACUGUAUGGCAAAUUCCAUUUGGAUGUUGACAAGCAGGUAUUUUACCACCAGCCCAGCACAAGAAAUGAGAACUCUUGGUAAGGAAACUCAGAGUGUGCAUGACCCACAGGUACCAAUCAGAUGAUUUACAGUUCCAUCUAAACAAGCACCUUACAAGGCAUGCCAAUUCUCUCCCUCCACUGCUCCCAGGGAGGGGUUGCUCCAGAGUCUCACUGAGCUCCUGGAGAUGGAUGACCAGUUUCUUACCUCUGUUUGCCAUCACAUGAGAUCGAUCUCACACCACAGUGGCACAUCUCUUGUGAACUGCUGCUGAGACAGAAAGGCCAACAGGGGAUAAAUUAAAAAAAAAAAAAGUUACUAAAAUGGCUUUCCUGUUUUCUAGUUUUUAAUGUUCCUUGUAUUCUGCCCUUUCCCCACAGGUUAAAAAUUACUUCUUCAGGGUUCCCACCUCUAGAUUUUCAGUCAUUGAUGGGAGCCAAAACCUCUAUAUCCCACACAAGAUUUUGAGACUGAAAAACGAAAAUAACAGGAGAGGAAAAAAAUAUUUGCAAAUAAAAAGCAUUAUUGCUCUAUUGGCUUUUCUCAUGGAAUGGGAGUCAUAGAGCAGCCUGUUUUCUUAGACCUUCUGAAUAAUUCUUUGACUCUACUGAUAGUGAAUUAAGACCCAUGCUUAUCAAACACUUCUGUUACCCAAUGUAAUCACAUGGACAAAGCCUGCCUGGAUGCACAUUCUCAUUCAGACAAAUCCAGGAACCCAGUACAUGAAAAAACUGAAGUGCAGCAAGAAUACUGGAAGACAGAGUACAGAGGUCAGCUUCCCUUAUAACACCAAGGAUGCCCUCAUCUAAAAUCCAAACUGCCCCUGACCCAAAAAUGGACAGUGUGGAGGUAGAUCAGGAUGGACUUAGAAGGAUUCAGUUUGUUUCAUACCCUGGCCAACAAAGGUCAGCUAGAGAGAUAACCAAAGAUGUUUUACCUGUGCCAUGAGGUGAAGGACAAAGGGAAGUUGCUGCAAUUUCUCUGUCUAGGAGUAGUUAUAACACAGACAGUGCCAAAAUGAAACAAGGAUCCUUUCAAGCCAGGAUAGUGUUUAACUUAUCAUGCUUGUAUUUUUAGUGUGCCCGGAAAAAUGACCAAAUAGGUAACUUCAAUGUGGAAAUUUCCACUUUAAACUAGUAUUCUUCCAAAAAAAAGGAAAAAAAAA
Non-coding RNA from Coturnix japonica (Japanese quail), 3303 nucleotides. Lineage: Eukaryota; Metazoa; Chordata; Aves; Galliformes; Phasianidae. The record is from RefSeq and is a predicted model, not a curated record.